This is a long non-coding RNA of Alligator mississippiensis (American alligator), 3382 nucleotides long. RefSeq lists it as uncharacterized. NCBI's taxonomy places the organism in Eukaryota, Metazoa, Chordata, Crocodylia, Alligatoridae. The transcript has 3 exons. The record is from RefSeq and is a predicted model, not a curated record.
UAGUUACUGAGCUACUAAAAUUGGUUUUUUUGUACCUAAAGAAAUCAGACCCCAGGAAAAAUCAUUUUAUGAGAAGGAAAGAUUGGGGACCAGGAGGAUGGGCUUGCUUAUCUCAGGAGUGCUGGGCUAGUAAUAUUACAAUAUAACCCUGCACCUUUCAAUAAAAAGCAUAUUGGCAAGUCUUGGAUCAGCACUAAAGCAAAUGGGAAUUUAAGGAAGGAUUUGAAGAGGGACAAUGGGAUAGUUUUCUGAAUGUUUACAAGCAACUAACCCCAAGAAGGAGAGACAACAUGAAAGCCGUACUUACUGAGUUUGACUCUUCAAGCAGCUUGAUGAUGCGAUUAAGAUCCAGAGACUGCAGCUGAAUAUCCUACAAAAAACAGAUAGUUCUUAAUUUCUUCUAGUAAUUAUACAUUUUAAAAUCUUAAAUUAAACAUGUUUAAUAUGAAGGGGAAAUUAUAAUCUCACUGAAAAUUUCUACUGAUGUUGUACAUAGUAAUUGAGGCCCAAAUCCAGAAAAGGGCUUAGGCACCUGAAUUGGGAGUUAGUAGGUGCCUAAAUCCAAGACUACAAUCCUGAAAAAGCCCCAUUGGUGGACCCCUUAGGCACCUAUGUUUUCAGUAGGAAGGCACCUUACCAAAAGGCAUCUAUAACAGAAGGACAUUGGCCACUGUUGUUCUCCUGAUUUACCUGCAGCAGGUUAGGGUGCUAUGCCUUGUGGUUGUGUAACAGGGCUUGAAGGCUCAGAUCAAGCAUAGUUUAUGCUUACUUAGGGGAAAUACUAGUACCAGUGUAGGUAAUGCAUACUUAACCUUGGCUUUAUGCUUACUUUAAAGAAAUGGGAAACUCCUCCCUAGCUUACUCCUGGGGCCUUGGGGCUAAGGGCAAGCGAAACUCAGGGGCAUCCGAACCCCAAUCCUCAAGGCUUAGGCCUGCAAGUAGGAUGCCUGCCAAAGGAUUUGGGAAUACCUGUUGCCCCAGGUGGGGGUGGAGGAUGCUUGCUGGUAGUCCAGAACCAUAAGUGGCUCUAAUAACUCAUGGAUUUGGAAUUGUUUUGACCAUUUUGGCUUGAAAUAUGGAAAAUUCAAACAAACAAACAAAAACAGGGCUGACUGUGUAGCUUUGCUAGCAGGUUAGAAAAAGAUUUGUGUAGGAUGGUUUGGAUAGGGAUGAUCCUGGUUCAGGCAGGUGGCUGGACUAGAAGACUUCCAGAGGCCCCCCCCCAGUCCUACUUUUCUAUGAUUCUAUUAUUCUAAAGGUCUGUUUCUGUGCAUACCUUGAAGUACGUCUAUGUUGGUAUGUAGGGUGUUUAUAGACAUGUUCCAGGGACUGGGGAUGGGGGAUGCUUUAAUUAGAGAGGCUCUGAGAUCCACUCUAAUUAAAGUGCCCGGAGCAUCAUGUGAAUCAGGGCCCCUGCACUGAAAAAUGGUAGUGGGGGCGCUUUAACUAAAGCUCAUUUGACAAGCUUUAGUUCAAGCACCCCCACCAUUUUUCAGCUUGUAGAUGCUGAUACACAUGAUGCUGGAGUCUGCUGAAGCAUGAUAAUUACCACGCUUCAGAAGACAUGAUUAAUCGAGUCUACUCAGAGCAGCCUCUCUGCACAUGUAUAGGUGCCCUAACCUCAUGCCUAUACUUGGUUGGAAUCCUUAAAUAGGCAUUCCUUUGCCUAUGUUCCUUGAGAGGUGGAAUAGGUAUACUCUGAAGAGUGAGAGCUAAUUUACAUGGAAAACACAGUGGCUCUGGUCACCUCUUUUAAACACACCUGCAGGAGGAAGAGCUUAUGAUGAUAAACCUUUUUUACACAAGAGUUCAGUAACUAGCUACAGUACUUCAGUGAUAGCUAAAAUAGUUCAGCAGAUGGGUUUCUUUGUGCUCCUUUGUUUUUUGCCACCUUCAAAAUCCACUUCCCACCUGCUAGGCCUGUAGAUGAGGGCACUCUCUAUCCUACUCCCCCUGCUGAAGCUAUGCCAAUGUGCAGCAAAAAAUUCAAGAUUCUUUAGGCCAAAGAGAAGGAGAAUGAUUAUCUAGCUUAAUGAUUAGUCACACUCCGGAAGAGAAUACUGGAUUCCAGUACUUCCUGUAAGGACUGUUUUUAUAUUUUGUACAAUGUAGAGUCCUAGGAGAGGACAGCAUGUUGGCUGUUGUGAACGCUAUUCUGAAGUGCCCAGGACAGGGCUGCAUAAUCUAUUCCUGGAACUGCAUGAUUUUAAAUGUCACAACAAAGUCCCUUUGUGGCUCUAACCACAAGUCUUUAGGGGUCUUGUAGAAUCAUAGUCUUAUUAUGCAAAAAUAGGGCUUUUCUCUAACAUGAUUUAGAUGGAGGUCCAGAUCUAUACAUCCCCUAAUUUACCACUUCCCCAGCUUAUCUAGAAAAGCUACACUUUUCUCUGUUAUUCAUUUGUAGCCUUCAUCAACAUCCCCUAGAUAAUUGGUUUUAUGGCUUCACAACUUGAUUCAUGUUUCCUGAAAUUAAUGGAAUCUUCCCAUGGAUUUUACUGGCCUUUGAAUUAAUUCCUUGGUGAGAAUAUCUGUAAUUAGUGUAGACAUUUUAAGUUUUCUACAGUACAUCUUCAGCCCUUUCAGACUUUAGCAACUAAAAAUGAAGACUGGGAUGGUGGCACUUCUAAAGGCCAAUGGAAGCACUGCACUAAUUACAGCUGAGCUGAGAAGUCAUUUCCUUUAUAAAGUUCAGAUUACAAGAGAAAUCUCUCAUGCUUCUACCGUUGAAUGUUUUUGGAACUUGUGGGUUUUCUAUUUUUGGCUGCUGUUGAGACUUCUGAUCACAAGACACUGACUUUAUAUUAAAUCAGUGUUUCUCAACCCAUGGGUUGCGAGAAUAUAUGAAAUGGUUGCAAACAAACUUUAAAAAUGGAGAAAAACAUGGGAAACCAUGGCUUUUCUCCUGCAGGCUGUCAGUUUGAGCCUGCAAGGGGCUGCUUGGGGCCACCCAUGCGUCACACACCCACCCCCUACCCCACACACUGGGGGGCUGGGGCAGUGGGUCGGGAGUGAGAGGCACUGGGUCGGGACUGGCCUUCAAUGUUUACAUAUGGGUCCUGGUAUAAAAAACAUUCAGAACCACUCUAUUAGAUAUGUUAGAGACUUCUGUACUGAUACUUGGAUAACUAAAAGUUGUUUUAAAUAAUACAGGUUUGGUCCUUAUUGGGGACAAAUGGAGUUGGCUUAAGCUUUUGUUUUGCCAUGACUGAACUUAAAUACAUUUAAAAUUAUCACACUACACAUUUACAAUGCUGAUCUAUCCCAUGUUAUAACAAGGAACUGUAAUACAGAACUUCAUAUUGGCCCAAGCAUGCCCAUGUAUAUGGAACAUCACUCAUUGAAAUAAAUACCUGCAAUUAUCUUAAGUACUUUAUUUUUGCGA